Molecule: ribosomal RNA, 429 nt
Filed under: Fusobacteriota bacterium
Lineage: Bacteria; Fusobacteriati; Fusobacteriota
Description: Fusobacteria bacterium partial 16S ribosomal RNA
Rfam family: Bacterial small subunit ribosomal RNA
Source: RNAcentral
UGGGGAAUCUUCCGCAAUGGACGAAAGUCUGACGGAGCAACGCCGCGUGAGUGAAGACGGCCUUCGGGUUGUAAAGCUCUGUGAUCCGGGACGAAAGAGCCUGAGGUGAAUAGCCUAAGGAAGUGACGGUACCGGAAAAGCAAGCCACGGCUAACUACGUGCCAGCAGCCGCGGUAAUACGUAGGUGGCAAGCGUUGUCCGGAAUUAUUGGGCGUAAAGCGCGCGCAGGCGGCUUCCUAAGUCCAUCUUAAAAGUGCGGGGCUUAACCCCGUGAUGGGAUGGAAACUGGGAAGCUGGAGUAUCGGAGAGGAAAGUGGAAUUCCUAGUUUAGCGGUGAAAUGCGUAGAGAUUAGGAAGAACACCGGUGGCGAAGGCGACUUUCUGGACGAAAACUGACGCUGAGGCGCGAAAGCGUGGGGAGCAAACAGG